Molecule: non-coding RNA, 2562 nt
Organism: Sus scrofa (pig)
Lineage: Eukaryota; Metazoa; Chordata; Mammalia; Artiodactyla; Suidae
Source: RefSeq, a predicted model, not a curated record
AUCGAACCUGCAGCCUUAUGGUUCCUAGUUGGACUCGUUUCUGCUGUCCCACAAUGAGAACUCUAUCUGGAUUUUUACAUGCAAUUCUAUGAUUUUUUUUAAAGCUGCCUCAAACUCUUGUUUUAAAUCUCUGUGAGAACCAACUAUCACACAUUUUUAAGUUCGCGUAACCACUGGGCAACCAGUUUUCUACUUCUGCAUCACUCUGAAGAAAGGAUAGAGAGUUUGAAUGUGGUUGCAGAGAUGUGUAGCUGACAGCCCUUUCAACCACAGGAAUGCCCAGUGCAUGGGAGAUCCAAACCCCAAUCAGUCAAACCUCAGGGAACAGUGAAGAUUGUAGGUCCCGAACAAAGGAGGGUCAGGCAGAGACCCCCCGAAUCCCAGGAGCUGAGAAGAUUGUACCUGAGCUUUGAUAGAAAACCAGCUCUCUAGGAAAACAAACAAACAAAAAAACCUGGCAUUUGCCAAUUUUUAUAAUGUAAACAUUCCCACCAUAACCAUUGGCUAGUGAUAGUUUAACAACCAGCUUACAAAAUUCACGAAUAUUUAACACUUGGCUCCAGAUAUUGAACAGUUGGUACACCAGAGUCCAGUGGUUUCAAAAGGGUUGCAUAUCACAAUCACCAGUGAGCUUUUAAAAAUUUCAGCUUCCCAGGCCCAUUCCAGAGCCACCAAAUCAGACUUUCAGUGGGGCAUUACAGGAUGUUGUGUUUUCAAGAAACUUUCUGAGAUGAGCAGCAAGACCUGGCAUUCCCUAAUGUAAUCCCCACUUCCAACUAGAAAGAAGUAGUCUAAUGAAGACAGCCUGUUUAGAGCAUUAAAUGAAAGAGUAUAGAACAGAGGUAAAGAACCCAGGACUCUGAGAGACAGAAAAUAAGCAUGUUAAAUAUUGUGAAGUAAUUAUGAUAAAACAAAUUUAAUUAUAAAUAGCAGUUUUGGAGUUCAAUCACUGUUCUAGGAAUCUUACUUGCAUAACUUUUAAAAAUCCUUACCCUUUGAGGUAUCACUAUUAUUUCUAUUUUAUAUAUGGGAAAAUCAUGAUACAGAGAAAUUAAAAAACAUGCCUGAGGUCCCAAUACUACUACACAAGAGAGCUGGGAUUAGAAUCCAGGCAGCCUGGUUCUGGAAACUAGUCUUAACCACAAUUAGGGAACGUACCUUUUUCCUAAAGAUAAUUUUGCAUAGAGUAGCUGUAAUCAGAAGUUUUUGAAUUAGACUGAGUGUAGGGUAGGAUUUCAUUUUUUUUAGAAGAUCACAUCCUUCUGUCUUUAACAGGGUAUCUGGAAAUCUUUGUAGGCUUUUCUCCCAUUUUAGUGACCCCUUGGCAAAGUCUGUUCUGAAUCCGCUAGUCCUCAAGUAGAUAGAUUUCAUGAUUACUGACAGGAAGAGUUGAAUCUUCUAUCUCAUUUUUCGGUCAUUUGGUUUUCCCUCUACUGGGCACCCUAGAUGGUAUUAACGGUCCUUAAACCGGCUCUGGAAUUGGACCCCACAUCCCCCGGGGGCUAUAUGCCAUCUGUUUCUAAGUCAUCCUGCCUUCGGUCUUCCGUUCAACAUUGUCCUGGCCUCACACCCUGACUGAGGCUAGAAAUGGGUGUUUGGUGCAGAUGUUCUGCUGUGCAAGACAGUUGGCAGUCUGUCCUCACAGGGCAAGCCUGGGAGCAUUAAACAUUCCAGAUCUUCCAGGCACAUGAAGAGCAGAAUGAUAACAACCCUAUAAAAACUUUAGGAGCUCUUUCUCCACAAAAUGAUCCAAAACUAACCUGCAUUUACCAAGUAUAUAAAGCCAAAUUUGGAAGAAAUAAACCUAGGAAGGUCAAAUAGUGCUGUAGUGGAAUGUUUAUCUUCUGACUCAUUUUAGAAAGGGUUUCAGGCAAGGGUCUCAGUCCCAGAGGCCAACAGUAACUAGACUGAUAUAAAUGAGAAGCAACCAGCUGCACACUGUGGUGACUGGGAGAAAUGCAUGCCUCAUCUAAAAGGGGAAACCCCUGCCUAGGGUCAGCCUAUUGUGAACACGUCUGUCAGGUUUCAAAGAGAAGUCACAGGACUUUCAAAUGUCUGAAUGAGAGAUGAUGUAAUUUGGACCAAUGAGUGCAAACAGAAAAGCUGGCCAAAGUACUUAAAAAUAUGCUUGAAGAUGUUGAAGAGCUAACACAAGAGUAAAGAAUCCUAGAGCGAGGAUCUGGGGCUGGAGGAAAGUCAGCAGAUACAUCAAUCCAGGAGCCAAAGCCCGGCUUUAGAGAUUUAAAGCUGUUAAAUAGCAUGUAGACCAUCCCUCUCGUUUUAUGGAUGCAGAAACUGAGACCUAUAGCAACUUCAGUGAAGGUCAAAGCUGUAAGAUUUGUCUUCUUACCUUAUAAAAGCAACCCUGCCUCCAUGACAGGUAAGCAAUGCGGACAUUUUUGGAAUGAACCAUGAAAGCCUGCCCACCAGCACCUCAGUCCCUUCCUUCCCACCCUCUCAACACUUUCCCUUCAAUGUGCAUCUUUCCAGGUUUUCUCUGUGCUCCUUCCUCAGCAAGGGGCAGGGGGUGGUGGUGCAUGACCAAAAUACCUUGGAAGGGCC